GGCUCAGGAUGAACGCUAGCGACAGGCUUAACACAUGCAAGUCGAGGGGCAGCACAGGUAGCAAUACCGGGUGGCGACCGGCGCACGGGUGAGUAACGCGUAUGCAACUUGCCUAUCAGAGGGGGAUAACCCGGCGAAAGUCGGACUAAUACCGCAUGAAGCAGGGAUCCCGCAUGGGAAUAUUUGCUAAAGAUUCAUCGCUGAUAGAUAGGCAUGCGUUCCAUUAGGCAGUUGGCGGGGUAACGGCCCACCAAACCGACGAUGGAUAGGGGUUCUGAGAGGAAGGUCCCCCACAUUGGUACUGAGACACGGACCAAACUCCUACGGGAGGCAGCAGUGAGGAAUAUUGGUCAAUGGCCGAGAGGCUGAACCAGCCAAGUCGCGUGAGGGAUGAAGGUUCUAUGGAUCGUAAACCUCUUUUAUAAGGGAAUAAAGUGCGGGACGUGUCCCGUUUUGUAUGUACCUUAUGAAUAAGGAUCGGCUAACUCCGUGCCAGCAGCCGCGGUAAUACGGAGUAUCCGAGCGUUAUCCGGAUUUAUUGGGUUUAAAGGGUGCGUAGGCGGCCUUUUAAGUCAGCGGUGAAAGUCUGUGGCUCAACCAUAGAAUUGCCGUUGAAACUGGGGGGCUUGAGUAUGUUUGAGGCAGGCGGAAUGCGUGGUGUAGCGGUGAAAUGCAUAGAUAUCACGCAGAACCCCGAUUGCGAAGGCAGCCUGCCAAGCCAUUACUGACGCUGAUGCACGAAAGCGUGGGGAUCAAACAGGAUUAGAUACCCUGGUAGUCCACGCAGUAAACGAUGAUCACUAGCUGUUUGCGAUACACUGUAAGCGGCACAGCGAAAGCGUUAAGUGAUCCACCUGGGGAGUACGCCGGCAACGGUGAAACUCAAAGGAAUUGACGGGGGCCCGCACAAGCGGAGGAACAUGUGGUUUAAUUCGAUGAUACGCGAGGAACCUUACCCGGGUUUGAACGCAUUCGGACCGAGGUGGAAACACCUUUUCUAGCAAUAGCCGUUUGCGAGGUGCUGCAUGGUUGUCGUCAGCUCGUGCCGUGAGGUGUCGGCUUAAGUGCCAUAACGAGCGCAACCCUUGCCACUAGUUACUAACAGGUAAAGCUGAGGACUCUGGUGGGACUGCCAGCGUAAGCUGCGAGGAAGGCGGGGAUGACGUCAAAUCAGCACGGCCCUUACAUCCGGGGCGACACACGUGUUACAAUGGCGUGGACAAAGGGAAGCCACCUGGCGACAGGGAGCGAAUCCCCAAACCACGUCUCAGUUCGGAUCGGAGUCUGCAACCCGACUCCGUGAAGCUGGAUUCGCUAGUAAUCGCGCAUCAGCCAUGGCGCGGUGAAUACGUUCCCGGGCCUUGUACACACCGCCCGUCAAGCCAUGGGAGCCGGGGGUACCUGAAGUCCGUAACCGCGAGGAUCGGCCUAGGGUAA
This 1437-nucleotide ribosomal RNA is filed under the name uncultured organism. RNAcentral describes it as "SSU rRNA". It matches the Rfam family "Bacterial small subunit ribosomal RNA". The record is from RNAcentral.